Long non-coding RNA from Phascolarctos cinereus (koala), 533 nucleotides. RefSeq lists it as uncharacterized. The record is from RefSeq and is a predicted model, not a curated record. Lineage: Eukaryota; Metazoa; Chordata; Mammalia; Diprotodontia; Phascolarctidae.
ACCCGGGGUCGCGGGAACGUUCUGUUUAUAGGACAGCCGGGAGGUGUCCUUCCCCCUACCUCCCCGGGGAGGGGAGCGAUUAAGAGGGCAAGGCUAGUGAAGGAGGAAGAAGGGUGGCGAGAGGCAACAUUUGGUACUCCCCGAACACUAACCGGGGUGUUUGGAAACUGGGGUUCUACUCCAAGGGCUGUCACGAAGAAGUUGUGUGACCUUGGCAAGCCACUUCUUUCUGGGACUCGGUUUCCUUCUAUGUAAAAGAAGUUGGAAGGGAUGGAAGAAUUGGAGAGAAAGAUACUGAAAAAAGCAGGAAGGACCGGACUUGGAGCUGGGGAGUGAGCUGGAGAAGAAAAUGGCAAACCACCCAAGUAUAUUUGUCAAGAAAACCUUAAAUGGAGUCGUGAAGAACUGGAUAUGACUGAACACAGCAACAGCACCGAGACCAAGAAUGGGGAAGUGACUUUGCCCACAGCACACAGGAAGUCAAUGGUUUCAAACAUAGGAAGCAUUCAAUAAAUGCUCAUGGAUUGAUUCUA